This 150-nucleotide small nuclear RNA is filed under the name Mytilus galloprovincialis (Mediterranean mussel). Its description in RNAcentral is "U12 minor spliceosomal RNA". It matches the Rfam family "U12 minor spliceosomal RNA". Rfam says of the family: Although the U12 sequence is very divergent from that of U2, the two are functionally analogous. Lineage: Eukaryota; Metazoa; Mollusca; Bivalvia; Mytilida; Mytilidae. The record is from Rfam by way of RNAcentral.
AUGCCUUAAACUAAUGAGUAAGGAAAAUAAUGAGCCUGGGUAGUCACAGGCUCCCUAGUUUAAUCUAGGAAGAAUUUGUGCAAGGGUACAGGUUACCCCCACGGUGACCCACUUACUUUGUGGGAUGCCUGGGUUGUUGUGAUCUGCCUG